RNAcentral lists this ribosomal RNA (368 nucleotides) under uncultured eukaryote. RNAcentral's name for it is "partial 18S ribosomal RNA". It matches the Rfam family "Eukaryotic small subunit ribosomal RNA", at positions 592 to 976 of the family's 1831-position model. The record is from RNAcentral.
CAGUAGCGUAUAUUAAAGUUGUUGCAGUUAAAAUGCUCGUAGUUGAAGUUCGGAUGCAGCAGAGCUUGGGAACGCUGUUAUGGUGCUUCCGUUGCUUUUGCUUGUCCACAGUGCGUUGCAAGUACGUAUGUGCUUGUGCGUGCAUUUUACUUUGAGAAACAUAGGGUGUUCCACGCAUGUUACGGCAUGAAUAUUCCAGCAUGGGAUAAUCUGGUACGACUUCCAAUCUGCCAUUUUGGUUCGUAGGUUGGAAGUAAUGAUUAAUAGGGACUGUCGGGGGCAUUGGUAUUUGACUGUCAGAGGUGAAAUUCUUAGAUUCGUUGAGGACCAACCACUGCGAAAGCAUUUGUCAAGGAUGUCUCCAUUAA